GACGAACGUUGGCGGCGUGCUUAAUACAUGCAAGUCAACUGAAGCAGUGGUAGCAAUAUCGCUGUGGAGGUGGCGCACGGGUGAGUAACACGUAGGUAAUCUGCCUUCAGGUCCGGCAUAACUCCGGGAAACCGGGGCUAAUAGCAGAUGAUGCAGCGGCUCGACAUCGAGACAGUUGUAAAAGCAAUGCCCCCGAAAGAUGGGCCUGCGUCUGAUUAGCUAGUUGGCGGGGUAACGGCCCACCAAGGCAACGAUCAGUAGCUGGUCUGAGAGGAUGAUUAGCCACACUGGAACUGAGACACGGUCCAGACUCCUACGGGAGGCAGCAGUAAGGAAUAUUGCUCAAUGGGAGAAAUCCUGAAGCAGCAACGCCGCGUGAGGGACGAAGGGCUUUUGCUUGUAAACCUCUGUAGUGAGAGAAAAAAAUCCCAAUCUUUGGGACAUGAUGGUAUCUCAAAAGUAAGCCCCGGCUAACUACGUG
Molecule: ribosomal RNA, 481 nt
Filed under: uncultured bacterium
Lineage: Bacteria
Description: partial 16S ribosomal RNA
Rfam family: Bacterial small subunit ribosomal RNA
Source: RNAcentral